UGAACGCUGGCGGCGUGCCUAAUACAUGCAAGUCGAGCGAACUGAUUAGAAGCUUGCUUCUAUGACGUUAGCGGCGGACGGGUGAGUAACACGUGGGCAACCUGCCUGUAAGACUGGGAUAACUUCGGGAAACCGAAGCUAAUACCGGAUAGGAUCUUCUCCUUCAUGGGAGAUGAUUGAAAGAUGGUUUCGGCUAUCACUUACAGAUGGGCCCGCGGUGCAUUAGCUAGUUGGUGAGGUAACGGCUCACCAAGGCAACGAUGCAUAGCCGACCUGAGAGGGUGAUCGGCCACACUGGGACUGAGACACGGCCCAGACUCCUACGGGAGGCAGCAGUAGGGAAUCUUCCGCAAUGGACGAAAGUCUGACGGAGCAACGCCGCGUGAGUGAUGAAGGCUUUCGGGUCGUAAAACUCUGUUGUUAGGGAAGAACAAGUACAAGAGUAACCUGCUUGUACCUUGACGGUACCUAACCAGAAAGCCACGGCUAACUACGUG
Molecule: ribosomal RNA, 497 nt
Filed under: uncultured bacterium
Lineage: Bacteria
Description: bacterial SSU rRNA
Rfam family: Bacterial small subunit ribosomal RNA
Source: RNAcentral